RNAcentral lists this small RNA (24 nucleotides) under Synthetic plasmid. The record is from RNAcentral.
GGCUACGCCGGCUACAUUGAGUUU